UAUUAGAUGACUGACAUAAGUGUUAGUUUUUUAAACUUUUUAUAGUGACAUCACUUCUAAUAC
This 63-nucleotide transfer RNA is filed under the name Stygobromus allegheniensis. RNAcentral's name for it is "tRNA-Lys". Lineage: Eukaryota; Metazoa; Arthropoda; Malacostraca; Amphipoda; Crangonyctidae. The record is from RNAcentral.